Molecule: long non-coding RNA, 635 nt
Organism: Pantherophis guttatus
Lineage: Eukaryota; Metazoa; Chordata; Lepidosauria; Squamata; Colubridae
Source: RefSeq, a predicted model, not a curated record
GGUACGAAUCAUCCUUCUCACAUGACCAUUUUGGGUAGUCCAACAAGAAAUAAGAGAACCAGUAUGUGGUUCAAGGAUUUGGAAAUCUUAUACUUAUAUAAUAGAGUCCCUGAAAGUGAGUGGACAAUAUAUAUAUAUUAUCCAUAUAUAUAUGGAUGGAGAGAGAAUGAAAUGGAUCCCUUGACGAAAGACCAUCCAGAGUGACCGCAGGUCAUAAAAGAAGGCAACUUCUCCUCCCUGUCAAAUAAUAUCUACCCAAUGAAAAUUGAAAUAAGAGAUAUUCAUGGGAACUUAAUCUUGAAGUGUGGAAUAUAUGGCCAGAAACAGCAGCUGAAGGGAUUUUGAAAAAAAAGUUAUUUCAGAAAAUUGAAGGCUUUUCCUUCAAGAAGGAAAAGAGAAAAACAAUAUCAGGAAUAAUUCCGUGAAGCAAAUUGGUGUAACAAAAUUAAGAACUGUAUAAAAAAAUCAAACACUUCAGAAAUAAAAAGCCAACUGGGGAGACAACAUGUUGGAUAAAAAAUAAACUACUAAAGAAGGCUUUUGUGUGCAUAUGUUUCUUCAGUGCAGAAGAAAAUGGGCAGAUAUCCAUAUCUGAAUUAACAUUUUAGAAAGGGAACCUGGUGAAAUGAGACAAA